GAGACAUCUUAUAUCCCUGUCUAAUUAAUGGCUCCCUUUCUUCCCCCCCGUAAUAAUUCAGGAUGAAGGACAAUAAAUAAAGGGUGCUGCUGUGGCACAAGUUUUUGUCUGGAGAAGAAGGAAGGAUUCAAUUAAAGAACAUUUCCUGAAGACAGCUACCACAGAGUUACAGCAGGAAUCCUAACUACAACUGGAUGCCUGGCAUUGUGCUUCUCUUGGACUUCUUCACAGCCACGUACCACCUUUAAGAGAUGACAUUCACAGAGAGCAUACCUCCCCCUCCCCAGACUGUCUUUCACCUCCUCCUUACUCUCAAUACAAAUCACAAUGUCAUCUGCAAA
Long non-coding RNA from Oreochromis aureus, 341 nucleotides. RefSeq lists it as uncharacterized. The transcript is spliced from 4 exons. The record is from RefSeq and is a predicted model, not a curated record. NCBI's taxonomy places the organism in Eukaryota, Metazoa, Chordata, Actinopteri, Cichliformes, Cichlidae.